AGUGUAGGCGGAACGGUAAGUUAGGAGUUAAAUACACGGGCUUAACCCGUGGCCUGCUUUUAAUACUGCCAUUCUUGAAUAUGGGAGAGGGUAAUGGAAUUCCAGGUGUAGCGGUGGAAUGCGUAGAUAUCUGGAAGAACACCAGUUGCGAAGGCGGUUACCUGGCCCAAUAUUGACGCUGAGGCUCGAAAGCGUGGGGAGCAAACAGGAUUAGAUACCCUGGUAGUCC
This 229-nucleotide ribosomal RNA is filed under the name uncultured bacterium. RNAcentral describes it as "partial 16S ribosomal RNA". It matches the Rfam family "Bacterial small subunit ribosomal RNA", at positions 568 to 796 of the family's 1533-position model. The record is from RNAcentral.